AUAUUACUAAGGGGAGGAAAAUAAACUAACAAGGAUUCCCCUAGUAACGGCGAGUGAAGCGGGAAGAGCUCAAAAUUGAAUCCGUGGGUGUAGCAACUCAUGGAGAUGUAGUCUGGAGACGCUCUCUCAGUGCGAGACCGGUUAUAAGUCCCUUAGAAUGGGGCAUCAUAGAGGGUGAGAAUCCCGUUUAUGAGCUGGAUCUGUGCGUACGGAGGAGCGUUCCGAGAGUCGCGUUGCUUGGGAGUGCAGCGCGAAAUCGGUGGUAAAAUUCAUCUAAAGCUAAAUACCGGCGAGAGACCGAUAGCGCACAAGUA
RNAcentral lists this ribosomal RNA (314 nucleotides) under uncultured eukaryote. Its description in RNAcentral is "partial large subunit ribosomal RNA". It matches the Rfam family "Eukaryotic large subunit ribosomal RNA", at positions 40 to 350 of the family's 3401-position model. The record is from RNAcentral.